Molecule: ribosomal RNA, 449 nt
Filed under: uncultured bacterium
Lineage: Bacteria
Description: partial 16S ribosomal RNA
Rfam family: Bacterial small subunit ribosomal RNA
Source: RNAcentral
AACGAACGCUGGCGGCAUGCCUAACACAUGCAAGUCGAACGAGAUCUUCGGGUCUAGUGGCGCACGGGUGCGUAACGCGUGGGAAUCUGCCCUUUGGUUCGGAAUAACAGUUGGAAACGACUGCUAAUACCGGAUGAUGACGAAAGUCCAAAGAUUUAUCGCCAGAGGAUGAGCCCGCGUAGGAUUAGCUAGUUGGUGUGGUAAAGGCGCGCCAAGGCGACGAUCCUUAGCUGGUCUGAGAGGAUGAUCAGCCAAACUGGGACUGAGACACGGCCCAGACUCCUACGGGAGGCAGCAGUGGGGGGUAUUGGACAAUGGGCGAAAGCCUGAUCCAGCAAUGCCGCGUGAGUGAUGAAGGCCUUAGGGUUGUAAAGCUCUUUUACCCGGGAUGAUAAUGACAGUACCGGGAGAAUAAGCUCCGGCUAACUCCGUGCCAGCCGCCGCCGUAA